This 253-nucleotide ribosomal RNA is filed under the name uncultured bacterium. RNAcentral describes it as "partial 16S ribosomal RNA". It matches the Rfam family "Bacterial small subunit ribosomal RNA", at positions 524 to 776 of the family's 1533-position model. The record is from RNAcentral.
UACGGGGGGGGCAAGCGUUGUUCGGAAUUACUGGGCGUAAAGGGCUCGUAGGCGGCCAACUAAGUCAGACGUGAAAUCCCUCGGCUUAACCGGGGAACUGCGUCUGAUACUGGAUGGCUUGAGUUUGGGAGAGGGAUGCGGAAUUCCAGGUGUAGCGGUGAAAUGCGUAGAUAUCUGGAGGAACACCGGUGGCGAAGGCGACAUCCUGGACCGGUAUUGACGCUGAGGCGCGAAAGCCAGGGGAGCAAACGGG